AUGAAGUUUCUUUAUGUGUUACCUGGCUGGGAGGGUUCGGUUUCAGACUUGAGAGUUUUGCGUGAUGCAAUGAGGACAAACCGCCAAGAUGCUUUUGUUAUACCUAAGGGGAAAUAUUAUUUAGUUGAUGCUGGUUAUACCAAUGGAGAAGGAUUUCUAGCUCCAUUCAGGUCCACUCGGUAUCAUCUAAAAGAAUGGGCUGCAAGUGCAGAACAGCCUCAAACAGCUAAAGAGUUAUAUAACUUACGUCAUUCUCGUGCUAGGAAUGUAGUGGAGCGAACAUUUGGCUUGUUCAAGAAAAAAUGGGCUAUCUUGCGUUCCCAAACCUUCUUUGACAUAAAGGAUUAA
This 348-nucleotide ribosomal RNA is filed under the name Triticum aestivum (bread wheat). Its description in RNAcentral is "partial small subunit ribosomal RNA". The record is from RNAcentral. Lineage: Eukaryota; Viridiplantae; Streptophyta; Magnoliopsida; Poales; Poaceae.